UAAUACGUAGGGUGCGAGCGUUAAUCGGAAUUACUGGGCGUAAAGCGUGCGCAGGCGGUUUUGUAAGUCUGACGUGAAAUCCCCGGGCUUAACCUGGGAAUUGCGUUGGAGACUGCAAGGCUGGAGUCUGGCAGAGGGGGGUAGAAUUCCACGUGUAGCAGUGAAAUGCGUAGAGAUGUGGAGGAACACCGAUGGCGAAGGCAGCCCCCUGGGUCAAGACUGACGCUCAUGCACGAAAGCGUGGGGAGCAAACAGG
RNAcentral lists this ribosomal RNA (256 nucleotides) under uncultured archaeon. RNAcentral describes it as "partial 16S ribosomal RNA". It matches the Rfam family "Bacterial small subunit ribosomal RNA", at positions 521 to 776 of the family's 1533-position model. The record is from RNAcentral.